AGGGGUUUGGAUCAUGGGGCUCAGAUUGAACGCUGGCGGCAUGCCUAACACAUGCAAGUCGAACGGUAACAGGACGCUGGGAUCCCUUCGGGGUGACCUUGUCGCUGACGAGUGGCGGACGGGUGAGUAAUGCAUAGGAAAUUGCCUUGAAGUGGGGGAUAGCCCGGAGAAAUCCGGAUUAAUACCGCAUGCGCUCUACGGAGCAAAGCGGGCCUCUGAUUUAAGCUCGCGCUUUAAGAUAUGCCUAUGUCGGAUUAGCUAGUUGGUAGAGUAAAAGCCUACCAAGGCGACGAUCCGUAGCUGGUUUGAGAGGAUGAUCAGCCACACUGGGACUGAGAUACGGCCCAGACUCCUACGGGAGGCAGCAGUGGGGAAUAUUGGACAAUGGGCGCAAGCCUGAUCCAGCAAUGCCGCGUGUGUGAAGAAGGCCUGCGGGUUGUAAAGCACUUUUAUCGGGAAAGAAAAUCUCAGGGUUAAUACCCCUGGGCCUUGACGGUACCCGAAGAAUAAGCACCGGCUAACUCAGUGCCAGCAGCCGCGGUAAUACUGAGGGUGCAAGCGUUAAUCGGAAUUACUGGGCGUAAAGCGAGUGUAGGCGGCUGCGUAAGUCGGAUGUGAAAGCCCCGGGCUCAACCUGGGAAUUGCAUUCGAUACUGCACGGCUUGAGUCUGAUAGAGGGAAGUGGAAUUCCAGGUGUAGCGGUGAAUGCGUAGAUAUCUGGAGGAACACCAGUGGCGAAGCGGCUUCCUGGAUCAAGACUGACGCUG
RNAcentral lists this ribosomal RNA (767 nucleotides) under uncultured bacterium. RNAcentral's name for it is "bacterial SSU rRNA". It matches the Rfam family "Bacterial small subunit ribosomal RNA", at positions 1 to 748 of the family's 1533-position model. The record is from RNAcentral.